UCCGUAUCUUCAUGGGAGCAUUUUGCAAACACAAAUUUCAUCAAGAAUUCAAAUAAUUAGAAAUGGGCAAGGUUGUGGGUAACUCUGCCAAGAUGGUUGUUUUGCUUUUUCUUUUUACUCUCAUGCUUUCCAUCAAUGAAAAGGGAGGGGGUGUGGAGGCAAUGUUGUGUAAGGAGCGGAGCAAGACGUGGUCGGGAUAUUGCGCGAUCACGAGCCAUUGCGACAAACAAUGCAAGAAUUGGGAAGGUGCAGAUCAUGGAGCUUGCCACGAUCACGUUCCUGGAAAAGCUUGUUAUUGCUACUACAACUGUUGAAAACCAUGCAAUAAUUCCUCAUGAAUUUUGAUGAUGUUAAUCUCCAUCUCGACAUCAUUCCCCUUUUUUUAAAAAAAUAAAAACUUUGUGUUUUCUUAUGUGUGUGUGAAGGAUCUCUAUAUGAAUUAAUGUUUUUAAGUGUGAGAAGUCUAUGUAGUUAGAAAAAUGUGUAUUGUGGUUUUUGUGAUAAAUAUGCUGUUAUUUAUCUUUUUAGCAGCUUGUUUGUGUGUGUGUCUUCCUCUUCAUAUCAAAAUAAAAUGGCCUUGCCUGUUGUUUCCCACUAAAA
Cucumis sativus (cucumber) is the source of this 600-nucleotide long non-coding RNA. RefSeq lists it as uncharacterized. Lineage: Eukaryota; Viridiplantae; Streptophyta; Magnoliopsida; Cucurbitales; Cucurbitaceae. The record is from RefSeq and is a predicted model, not a curated record. The transcript has 2 exons.